Molecule: non-coding RNA, 2363 nt
Organism: Schizosaccharomyces pombe (fission yeast)
Lineage: Eukaryota; Fungi; Ascomycota; Schizosaccharomycetes; Schizosaccharomycetales; Schizosaccharomycetaceae
Source: the annotation of a GenBank genome assembly
UCCCUGUCCUUCGGAAAUUACUUGUGUACUUGUGCGUAAUUCAUCAUUGUCCAAAGUUUGAUUAGUGAACGUAAUACGUUCAGAAAUAUAUAUAAAGACGGCUCUCAUUUGAGCGAGCGCAGUCGUUUGUCCUGGAGCUAAAUAAUUUUUUGCAAGUACAGCAGGACUGACCUGGACACGUUGUGGAAUAAUUGACCUUAUUUGUUUAUCAAUAGCACUAAAAUUCAUGUUAUGAAUAUUAGUACCUACAGAGAACUGCACUGGCUCGCCGUCGGCUAAAACAUUCCCAAUACAUUCACUGAGAUCCUUCAAUGGUUCAUAUACCGGCAUCGAAAGCUUAUUGAAGAUUUCUUCCCGUUUCGCCGCAAACUCGGCUUUCGUGUAUGUCUUUGUACGUUUCAAAUCAUCUUUUACUGAUUUUAAUGUAUGAGGCGAUGCAGGACGAACACCUUUUUGAGGAACAUUGUGCGCCGGAUAACUUACCGGAGGAGUUGGUUGGAGACUGGGCUUACGUUUUGACGAUCCACGACGCAAAAGCUUUUUGAAAGUUUUUUUUAAAAAUCCACCACCUUUUCUAAACGAUUGAGCAGUUGAGGGUCGCUCCGUUGUUUGCGGUCUUGGCUUUAUAACAUUCGACGCGGUGGUCCGAACUUGAGUUAGUGGUAUCAAUGUUGAAACGGGUCUGGGAAUAGGUGCGGGAGCACUCUGAAAACGCCUGUGCUGCGGAAAAUAAUCAGACGGAGAUAAAACUGAUGAAGCCAUGGAAGGUUUUCUAGAAAUAUCUCUUGAAGACUUCAUAGGUGAUUCUCCUGGUUGCAAACUUGUUCUUGGUUUUGACGAAUUAUCUGUUGAAUCAUCCAGCUUGGAUCGAGAAGUCAUACUUGUGGACCCAUGUGCAGGAGGGACAGGAAUGAAGUCCGUUUCUUUGCUAGUUGUAGUGCUUUUCGUAAGUCUUAAAAGAGGGGAAUUCGCUCGACUAAAACUUUUUUUGCCCAUUGCAUUUAACGAUUGAAGAACAUUUUCCAUAGCACUUCUUAAAGGGGAAGGUGUAGAUCUACUUAAAUCUUGGGCAUCAAUCUGAGAGUCGUUAUCGGCUGUAUUGUCCCAUCUGGAAGAGACAUCUAAGUUGGUACGAGACAUUGAAGAUGGCGGUCUAGAUACGCUUUUCUUAAGUGACAGACUUGAUCCUAGCGAAUUGAGCAUGGGGUGACUUUUUUGGUGUUUUAGUGAGUCACUCUCUCGGGUUGGUUUAUUCAAAGCAUUUGAGCUUCCAACGAGAUCAGGAGUUAGACCUUGAUCAGAUGAAGUUAUUGGGGUGUCUAUAGAGCUUUUUUGAGGAGAAGAAUAUCUAAAGCUAGAAGCGCUAGUUCUUGACAUAGAACUGCCAGGUCGUACCGUGGGAAUAUCUAAACAGUGAACAAAGUUGCUAGGAAAUAUCCCUUGUGUAUUAGUAUUGAUAUGUCUGCCAAUCCACCAUUUUCCAUCACCUAUGCUUAAGCAUUCUAUUAAAUCUCCUUCUGUAAAUUUUAAAUCACCUGAAAACACAUUAAUAUAUAUUUUUUAAACUUUACAUCAAUAAUUGCGACGUUACUUAACAGCAUCUUUAAAUGUUACGAACCUUCACGUUCACCUGGCCAUGCAUACAGAGCACGUACCAUGCAUGGUAGUUGUUUAGGAAUGGACAUUCCUGAAGGCUUAAAGGAAUGAAAUUAUAGUCUUUGGUAGUUAAUAUAAAAAACGAGCGGAGCGGAAGUUCCGUAACGUGAUGUGAGUUGUGUAUGAAUGUGAAGAUAAGAUUCUUAUUUAAGCGAAGUACACUAAUAACUUUGUUUUUUUUUUAGAGCUCAAUUAACCGAGUACAUCAUAAUUUUUCUAAUAACGCGACUUAUAUACUUAGCGCACAAUUAAAAAAUGGAAAUAUUUUCAAUAAUACUCGAUAAAAUGCAGAUCGGUAAUAAAUUCAACCAUACUAGAAUUUCAUUUUAGGAAAAUUAAAAAAAGAAAGAUAUUUGGCUACCAUGAAACAUUCUUUAACGAUAAAGAGUGCGAUGUUAGAUUCAUUUCAUGUAGAUUAUAAUUGAUUUAGUGAGAAAAUUUACUAAAAUUGUUAGAAGUCCUAGAAGGGUUCAUUUUAACUUGAAAUAUGUGGUACAUUUGCACUUCUGUAAUUUUUUUAAAGAGCUUUUUGCACAAGACAUAAUAUUCAAAUGAUUUGAAACCAGCAUCCAUAUUUAUGCGCACUUUAAGCCAUAUUAUUUAGAUGAAAUAAUCUAGGUUUUAAUUUACCAAAUGUAAUUUUCAAAAAUUUGCACGAUGCUUCAGUCCAUAUGAGAUUCCUCUUUAAUAAAGCUAGCAACUUUCGC